Long non-coding RNA from Harpia harpyja (harpy eagle), 7497 nucleotides. RefSeq lists it as uncharacterized. NCBI's taxonomy places the organism in Eukaryota, Metazoa, Chordata, Aves, Accipitriformes, Accipitridae. The record is from RefSeq and is a predicted model, not a curated record. The transcript has 2 exons.
CGGUUGCCGGGGGGAGGGCCGGGAGAGGAGCGCCGGCCGCUCCCUCCGACCGCCGCCGGGGCUCCGCGGGAGCGGGGAGGCGGCGGCGGCGGCCCCCGCGCCGCCCAGGUCUGCUCCCGCCGCUCGGGAGGGGCCCGCCGCGGCGGCCGCCCUGAGCAGCGAGCGCCGCCGGGCUCGCCCGGCGCCUCGUACCGGCCUCGAGGCGGAGAUCUCCCCGCACCGGCUGGCGAGUGCGGGACCCCGGGUCCAGCUGUGGGUGCUCCGGGAUCCCCUCGACCGUGGGCGUGAACCUCGGCCUCCGGAGCCGGCAUAAGCACACCGAGUCUCAGCUCGUCUCUUUUAAACCGCCACUGGUUUCAUUCGCCGUUUUAUUUUCCGCGACUCACGGAGAUCGAGCGCGUGGGAUCGAGAAUACUGCCAGUCACCGGUCCACACGGGCUCCGCCGAGCGUCAACACCCACCAAGUUCCGUACCCCUGCGGAGGCAUGCUCUGCGUCUCCCACUCCCAUCGCGACAGAGGCCACGGUACCGGCUCUGCAAGUAAUACCCACCGAGGCAGGAGACGACGGCACGCCUGGCGUUGCUGCUACCCCCCGCGGGGUUCUCUGUAUCCUCAGUGCUUGUGGCACUGGGUAUUACUGCUAUCUGCUGGGCUUUGUCUUUGUUUUCUGUUAUUUCGCACGUAUUUUUGGCAGGCCAGGCUGGAGGGCGUACGGGCAGAACAAAAGCGUUCCACCCUCGUGAGGGACUGCAGACAACAUACCAACAGAAGGCACUCGCCAGCCCCGAGAAGACCACCCAUCGCAGCGAGACUGACCCAAAGUGGCAAUUAUUGCCUGCUGGUCUCAAUAGCCUUUGUUAUUGGCAGUUCAAAAGCUUUCCUUGUUCUCUCUCAUUCUCCAAGUCUGAAAUCUAAGUCGUCUUUUGUUCCCUGCAUCUCCUGUCUUUGUAUAAAAUAUGGCCUCUCCUGUUACUUACAGCCCAUCGCACUUUGCCGUCUUAUUUUUGGUGUAAAAUGUUGCCAGAUGCCACCUGCCCCUACAUUUUGACUGUGCAGCCCACCUGAUUGCAGAGCCUGGCAAUUUUUGCAAGGAACCAUUCAUGCCUGGGAAGAGAGGGGGCAGAUGACAGCAGCUCACUGCUGUCAGCAGACCUACUGUGGGUCUACAACUUAGAGAAGUUGUACCUACACGGUACAAGACACUCGGGUCCCAUCAGGCUGCAAGCGGGAACUGUAAAUGUAAUCAGAUUGACAGAGGUGGGGCACACCUCUAACUCCAGGGCACAACCCCAGCAUCUCUCCUUCUCCUCCUCCGCCAUCAACCCGGAUCAACUAGUCGCCCGUCUGCCCAACUCCUUGCACUUCACACAGAGGUCACAGUGCAAGGCUGGAAAACGACACACCAACAAGUUGGGAAAUGAGCCAAUAGACCUAAAAGGGAAACAAGAAUUCCUGAUUUCUGACCUAGAAACUGAGCCACGCAGCCUCCCUCUGUCCUGCUUUUCCAUGGCUGGCACAGGAAUUGAAGAUAGAUGGAGGAAGCAGACAACAGCCAGGUUUCUCAACUAUGGAACUAGACCUGCAAGGAGUUUGUGUAAGAUUCAGAUUUUAUCACACAAGUGCUGAUCCAAAUGACACAAAAAAAACCCUGCUUGUAUCUUCAAACUCUUGGAAAAAGCUACAGCUGAAGCUCUUGUAGGUUUUAUCAUGCACAUUACGAUCAAACAUUUUCAAAAAUGGUCAUUGUUUUUGAAUGGCUCCACUUCAAAAUGAGCAUCCGUUUUUCCAGAUCGGUAAAAACGGCCCAAGGCUGGGUAGCACCAGACAUCAGAUCUUGAAGCAUCCAAAAAUCAAAAGAUUAUGUUAGCCUGCAUGUAUACACAAACCACAGUUUAUAUAAACAAUAAGAGAAUUUUGUGUACUUGAUUAGGAAACAUGUUCAUCUUCCAGAGAUACUAACAAUAAAUGAUUUUUAAAAAACUUCUCUGUGGCAGUAAAUGUAUGAAAUGCCACUAAGAUACUUACUUUCCGCUGUAAACAAUUACAGCAGAAACAUUUCCCUACAUUAUUACUCAGCUGGUUUGUUGAACACAUUCUUUUUUCCUUGCAUUUUUGUUUCUAACUCAGCUUGGUAUGAACAGAGACACAUUUUAUGCUGGCACACAUGAAUGAAAAUGUCAUCGAUUCCAGUGGUGCUGGGCCUGCUACUUACUGCCAAACAGCAGGAAUGUGACCCAUAGCACUUUUUUCCAGCUACAUGUGCACCAAAAUCAUUGAUUUGUCAGAAAAUAUAUGAGCAGGGGAUUAUUCGAUGCAACCUUACAACAACUCUAAGCAUAGCCUUUUUUCCACACAGAUUAAAGGGCAGUAUGUGUCCUUUCAACCCUCAGAGAAUUACUAUCCUCAGGAGAUUUUCCAGGAAUUAAAAUUCUCCUGUGAAAAUCUACAUAUUUUUGUAAAAACACAUAAAAAUUUCACCUGCCCCAAAUUAAUCUCUCUUUUAUUCCAUCCACCAGCUCUGUCAGCAACGACUCCCAAGUCCCUUUCAGGGCGGAAGAUGGCAAAGCUCAUGCAGUCUUUCUGCCCGUUACAUUCUUUGGCACAAUCAUCAGUGCUGCCAAUCUCACAGACAAAUGCCAGUUCAAAAAUCAUGAAACAAUCUCGAACAAAAUGGCCAAUACGGGGAAAAAGGGCCUUUCUCCAUCUUGUUUUGAGCUUGGGUCAGGAAGUAAUAAUCCCAUUUGUGUUCAGGAGCCUUCCCUGAAACAGGGAGAAGCACUCCAGCUUUCCUGAGCCUUGGCACAACCGCAGAGGACAGCUAAAUGCUAAAGUUCAGAAUUCAGUUCAAAACAUGAACAUUUCCUGCAUAUCAAGAUGGAAAGCACCAAGACCUGAUUGGAUUUAAGAUGACUGUUUGCAGAAUUAGAAACAAGAAAUCUUUUCUCAUAAUAUAUAAGAGGAAAUCAAUUUAAUCUUAAAGCUGACAAAACCAGAGGUAAUAUUUAUUAAACGAAGUCAGGCUACAGGGAUUCCUGCCACAGCACACUGACGAAAGUUCUGUAUCACCUUCAGUGACAGAAACAUCAGGUUAUACUACUAGUUUGGUUUUGGGGGGCAGGCAUAUUAUUUUUAGCACUUUCAGUGGAUAAUGUUCAAAAAACAAUACUGGCAUGCAUGUGGCAGAAACAGUCUGCCGCUUAUCCCUUCACAGCUAGGGAAAAAGACCUUUACUACACAUUAUUCUACACCCACAGGCAUGGUCUAGGAAAAAGACUAAUAGCUUGGGACUGUAUUACCUUGUCCACAGAACUCCCUCCAGAGAAGAAAAACAUCUCUCAGUGGAGAAUCAAAGGCACUUGCACCCCAGGAAAGCUCUCACAGCUGUACCUCCUGGAAGGCAAAAUUUCCCGGGAUGACAGAUCCAGUCUGAAAACUCCAGAAAACACUGAAGGAUGCCAUUUUACCAGUAGAGCUGUCUGUCAGACCUUGAAGCCAAGAAUCUCAAGUUCCACAUUAACCAAGCCCCAGGGUGGAUCUGAAGGGGGACUCCGCCACUACAUGUUUGAGACUAUCUUUUGGUUAGUUUGUGGCAGGAGGGAAAAUGUGGAGGGUGUCCAAGCAGCGAUCCCUGGGCCUUCCGGACGUAGAGAAGACAGGUGGUCAGAAUAUGACUCUGCAUGACAGAAAGGGAACACAAGAAACAUCCAAUACACCAUUCAGAACGGUGCAUUAAUCAAGCGUUAUGUCCUUAAUGAGUCAUUAGCGAGCAUUAUGAAAAGCGGUGCCAGUGUUUGGAAUUCCUGUUUGUCUCUGAUGAAGCAGAAGUGGGAUCAGCACAGCUCUUCUACGGAAUCCAGCAAGAGGAGAGAACAUCUCCUUCCUCACGACUGACCUUCCCUUCUUGUACACCCGAGAGGCAAAACAAAAAUCUGGGCCAAACAUCCUCUUUUAUCAGCUAUAAAAUCUCUCACUGCAACAUUACAAUUGCACUAAACUACUACAACAUUGUAGUAGUUUGCACAAACAAAAAGCUUGUCAUCUGGGUUACCUCUUAAAGGCAGCGUCAAACUUCAUUCUUCGUGAGAUACUUGUAAAAGCUCCAGGGAAAAGGGCUAGAGACAGUAAACAACAAUUUUAUAUGACUAAUCCUAUGCUGGGUAAAAAGACCAUCUGCAUGGAUUCCCUCUAAAGUGCUUUAAUAACUGCGCUGCAAGCCUCUGGCUGUCGUGCUGAGGAAAUGCUCUUUUGCACUCAGGCUAAUAAUUCCAAAAGAUUACUUCCUUUUUCUCCCCCCCACCCCACCCUUUUUAUUAAAGCUGUUAGCCACUUGCUCUCCCGUUUAAUUCCCUAUUAAGAGAUCAUCCAUCAAACCCGUGAAGUGACAAGGAUCCGCACUGGAAGACAUCUGUGGAUUCCACGUUGAUGGCCAGCUAGCUACAGAAAGGUCACCCUCCCUCUGCAAAAACUACAACCGAUUUUAUUGCAUCACUGCAGUGUGUAAUUACUGUCGAAGAAGAGAAUGGCAAACUGUCGGCUGAGGUGUAAUUAAACCAAUUUCAGCUGCAGCAGCUUCCUCUCCGAGUGACCCUGCUUUUUGCACCGCAGACUGCAAUGGGGAUCUCCAGGUGGCACGCAGAGCAGCCGCACCGAUGAACGCUGCGCAGCGGUUUAGGACAGGAAGGGGACUGCCACCUCCAGCUGAGCCACACCUAAGUCAAUAAGGGCUUCACACCCUGGGAGAGAAGGAGAUCCACAACUACAAUCUGUUUUCUGCUCAGAGGUCAGAGGGAGCAGGUUCUCCCCUCUGCUGAGAGAUUGUUGUCUCAGGGAAGGAAGUCCAACCCCUACGUGAAUCUGGUCGGGGCUCAGAAGGAUUCAGACAGAUGAAGCACUUGAGAAACACCAGUAUUUCAGGCUCAUCCAGGACGAGCCUAUUCCAAGUGGAUGAGAUUAAACACGUGGUGUGUGUGUAGGUUACGAAAGGCAUACAAGAGGAACUGGCUAGCGUUUGGGGUUAUGAAAGAUCAGAGGUUACGAAAGACCUUGGCAGUUAUGAAAGAUGAGCUGAGAUCUGAUCCAGCAAGGCAGAAAGCAGCCUUGACCUGCUCGGUGGUGAACCGAUGUUCAAAAUCACCCAGCAGCUCACAGGAGGAAGCUCACACUGCCUGGCGGGUCUAGGUUAAGGAAGGCUUGAAAAAACUUCAGAACAGUAAUAAGAAAACAGUUGUCACAGACUAGGAGAAUGAUGAAGAGAAAUAUUCCCAUCUGCUUAUAGACCUUACAGGCAGCUGUAUUUUUUUGCAAAGUAUUUUGAAGGGUCUUAAAAUACUAGCUGCAGCCACUGAUUUUCUAAGAAGUACUCUUUCCUGGCCUUUUAGUGCUAUUUUAAAUCUUCUACCUGCAUGAGCCACAUAGCUGGAACGAAUCUGUAAAAACCGAGGGUUCAUUCCGUUGGUAUUUUAGCCUCUCAAGUUCAGCCUUUGGCAAUCCUUUUACUAAUAUUCUACCACCAGAACGAAGAGAAGGCUGGGGAAAUUUUACUGCGCCAGAUGGAGUUGCUUCUUUCCCAAAUGCCACUCAGACGUCACUUAGAAAGAGGACAUACUCCUGCUUAGAAAAAUAUUGAGGAGAGCACUUCCCCCUCUUUGCAACAGUGUUUCUCUGUGAUGAUGAUUUUCUACAGUUACCUUCAGUGAGAAUAUUUCUGCAUCCUGCCUACACUAUCAUUCACACUGCCCUGUUUUCAAAACACGAGUUAAACAGACCUUUCAAGUGCCCCUGUGGCUGCCUAAUCACAACAAACGUCCAGGCAUUGCAGCAGACCUGAGACACAAGGGAGGAAACCAUCUGCUCUACAUCAGUAUAAUAUUUAGCCGGUUUCAGCAAAAGGUAUAGACUGCUUUACUGUUGGCCAAUUCAGUAACUAAAACUUCCUCUUUCAAGGAAAAACACAGAAAACACUUUUAUCGUGGUCUGAGAUGCUUCCUAGAAUGCAAAGCCAUGGUUAGCCGUAGAUUUCCUUAUUUACUGAAGUUAAAGCUGUUUUUACUACAUCUCACCAGUACACACAUCUCACCAGUAAAUCUGUUUACCUGUCUGCCACAGCACAGAAACUCUGUAAGGGAAGGUCCUGAAGCCACCUCAAGCCAUGCUGAGCAUGGCAUCAAUAAAAAGCACAAAUUCUAAAACCUGGAGGAAACUGAGAUUAAGGAAAAAUCCAGAGCAAUUCUGUUCCAUACUAUUCCAAAUUAUACUACAUGUUCAUAGGGUUAUUGCACUUAAUGAAACUAACCUUACGUGAGGACAAAACAGAUACGAGGUUAUAGGAAAUGAGUGACUUAGAAGCAGAAUAAUUAGUCAGCAGAAGGAUUGACAAAUGUUUGGUGAGGAUUUCUUCCAACCAAAAUUUCAUAAUUUCAUACUUUAAACAAACUUUAAAACUUCUGGUAUUAGUUUCACCUUCUCAGGGUUUGUUACUGUUUUUUCUGACUCAAAAUGGGGACUAGAAAACGUUUUGCUAAGUAGACCGACGGCCUUGCCGUCUUUGUGCUAUCCACUGCCACAGCACAGCUUAGAAAUUUAAAGAAUGAAGUUGAACUCUUGCACUACAAUCUGUGAAGUUUUGUCACUUAUCUUAGAAGGAAAAUGUCCAAGCCUUUUAUUUAAAAAAGUGUCCAUCGUUUUUGUGAACUACCUAUGGCAGGAGUGUUAUGUCCCUCUCAUCCCAAAGUCACCUGUGUCCUACAAGAUAAACAACUAAAUAAAAGAAAAUAGAUCUAGACUUAGGGUCUGUUAGCUUAGAUAGAAUACCCAAGCCAAUUAAACUUUGCCUAGUCCAUAGAAAAUCAACAAUUAAUUUUGUGUUCACAUCAGAGAUAGUCAGUGGUAGUGUUAUGAAAUUUUCGUAAUGCAAAUAUGGUCACCACUAAAGCAUCUCUAUUCCGUUCCUCAAAGGUCACUGAAAAUGAAACCUUUGACCACCAAGCAGGUGCUGAAAGACAGUAACAAAUUUCAGAGACCUGAUGUAUUUAAUGCCUUUUUCAAAAACCUACGCUGACGGACUCAAUCCCGGGCUCUCUUUUGUCCCGUUCAAUGCCAAGCAUGCAUCAGAACAGGCUGUUUGGAAAAGCCUCCCUUUGGCAGAUCAAGUGUACGCUCCCAACACUCACUCGCUGUUGUAAGUACUACAGACUGGUUGCUCUACUGUGUCAGUACGUAUUCAUUGCAGGCCACCCUUCUUCUACAAGGUGGACCUAGAAUCAGAAUCGCUCGGCUGUCUGCCACCGGUGCCCUGCUCUGCUGCCUCAAAUGCACGGUAAUUUGGCUUACGUGGUUUCUGGAACAGUAGGUUCUUAAUUCUCUGCUUCUCACCCUUGACAAAUCCAAAAUUACUUACAAAGACAAGUGAAAAAUCUAAAGGGCAAAGUAUUUGUUACCAUACACUUGAAUUCCCAAGCACUAGCACGCUGCCGAAAUUAAAAAUCUGCUCAACUGCC